Molecule: non-coding RNA, 75 nt
Organism: Podarcis lilfordi (Lilford's wall lizard)
Lineage: Eukaryota; Metazoa; Chordata; Lepidosauria; Squamata; Lacertidae
Source: the annotation of a GenBank genome assembly
GGGAGUGCUGUAGCUUAGUGGUAGAGCAUUUGCUCUGCACACAGAAGGUCCCAGGUUCAUUCCCUGGCACCUCCA